UAGCAUCUUCCCACAGUCAGGGUCUUAUUCAGGCACUUUCAUAAAUGCCUUCAGCUUUCAGAAAAUCUCUUCUGCAGAUGGGCCCAGAGCCAGCCUGUAGAAGACCAUCUUAUAAAAUAACAGACAAAUAAAGCUGAAAGGAAGCUCUGGAGGUCAUCUAGUCCAACCUCCUGCCUGAGGCAGGGUCAUCACUAUCAAAACCAUUGCAUGCAAAUCCUUGUCUAACCUGUUACUAAAAUUACGCAGUCUAUCCUGUCACACAACCACAAAGCAUAGCACACUAACCUGCCACAGGUAGAGCAGAGGGACAACAGUAACCAAUGUCAUGCUGCUGG
Gavialis gangeticus (Gharial) is the source of this 335-nucleotide long non-coding RNA. RefSeq lists it as uncharacterized. The transcript is spliced from 3 exons. NCBI's taxonomy places the organism in Eukaryota, Metazoa, Chordata, Crocodylia, Gavialidae. The record is from RefSeq and is a predicted model, not a curated record.